UACUGACUUCCCAUAUUUCACAAAUGACCAGGAAACCAGCCAGGAGGAAGGAAGCGCCCUGUGAUAGAGAGCAGCACAAGACUCUUUGGCAAUGGAUCUAACAGCAAAUGGACAUACCAUCAAGCUUUGAAUCAUGUUAAGAGAAAACAUGAGCUUGUUUUGUGGGAUUGAAAUACAGCCAGAGUAGAAGAAUAAGCAAAGGGUAAAAGUAACAGAACUACAGAAUAAAGAGAGUGAAGGCUGUCGGUGCACAUGUGAGCACAGAUGAUGUUCUAGCAGCUCCUUGCCUCCUUCCCCCACCUGCUUGAUGUCUUCCAGUGGACGCUUAUGUGAAUAGCCAUGCCUCUCAUUUUACAACUCAUUGGCAAGUAUAUUUCCUCUUAGAUAUUUUCUAAGAAAUUCCAUGUACUUAUCAAUAUCCCCCUAUUCUCCUCUUCAUCUUUGUUUCCUUCCAUCAGGCAAUGUGAACACAACCCAACAGAACUAAUCAAUUAAAUUUUUUGAGAAAGGAGAAGAAGGAGGAGAGAAGAAGAAGAAGAAGAAGAAGAAGAAGAAGAAGAAGAGAAGAAGGAGGAGGAGGAGGAGGAGGAGGAGGAGGAGGAGGAGGAGGAGAAGGAGAAAGACAAGAGAGAGAAAGAAGGAAAGAAAGUUAUUGCCUUACUGAUAUCAAGUAAUAAGUGAAAGAUUAAAAGAUUGAUUUUCAUUUUUUUUUUUUUUUGGUUUUUAAUGUUUUGAUGAUUUUACAAAGAGCUGUGACAACCUACACCCUUACCUGAAGGGAAUAUUUAUAGGCUAUCUCUUAAUUUUCGAAUCACCAUAAAGAUUACUUUAGGGGAAUUGCCUAAUUUUCAUGAUCUCCAUGAUAAUUUUUGCAUCCCUACACAGGAAGACUGGGCUAUGUUUUGCUGUUGACACACAGCCUAUUACGUAUUCCAGGCUUGGUGGAAUUGUCUGGGAUCUUGGAAGUCCUGAUAAUUCCUUGAUUUGGAAAGCAUUAAAUACACUUAACUGAAAUGGUAGCCCUGUUUAAAAUUGUAGAGGACAGCUGCAAAUGCAUCAGGUCUGAAGCCAGGUGACUAACACCACAGGCUUUUAUCUCUUUAUUCAUGAUCAUUAUUGGCUAUGACCUCUGUGACUGCUGAAUGGCUCCAAACUUCCCUCACCCAGUGCCCGGCGACCCCUUAUAUGGACCACAGUCAGCCAAACACUCCAAUUAAGGUGAUGUGAACUUGAGUAAGCUAAUAACAUUUUUUUAUCCCCCGGUAUUGUGAUCUUAAGACUUUUCUCUACAGUGGGAGAGGAUACCUUAAUUUUCACAGAGAGUUCAAUUGGCCAUAAUUAAUAACGUAUGUCAUUUAGAACUACACUUACCUGCAGAAAAUAGACUGCAUUCAAUUUAUUUAAGGGAAAUUUUAAGAUCCCAUUUUUUUUCUCAUUUUAAGCUU
This is a long non-coding RNA of Felis catus (domestic cat), 1445 nucleotides long. RefSeq lists it as uncharacterized. NCBI's taxonomy places the organism in Eukaryota, Metazoa, Chordata, Mammalia, Carnivora, Felidae. The transcript is spliced from 3 exons. The record is from RefSeq and is a predicted model, not a curated record.